UGCCAGCCGCCGCGGUAAUACGGGGGGCGCAAGCGUUAUUCGGAAUUACUGGGCGUAAAGCGUACGUAGGCGGACAUUUAAGUUAGAGGUGAAAUCCCAGGGCUCAACCCUGGAACGGCCUUUAAUACUGGGUGUCUUGAGUUCGAGAGAGGUGAGUGGAAUUCCGAGUGUAGAGGUGAAAUUCGUAGAUAUUCGGAGGAACACCAGUGGCGAAGGCGGCUCACUGGCUCGAUACUGACGCUGAGGUGCGAAAGUGUGGGGAGCAAACAGGAUUAGAUA
Molecule: ribosomal RNA, 279 nt
Filed under: uncultured bacterium
Lineage: Bacteria
Description: partial 16S ribosomal RNA
Rfam family: Bacterial small subunit ribosomal RNA
Source: RNAcentral